This 1539-nucleotide long non-coding RNA is filed under the name Parus major (Great Tit). RNAcentral describes it as "lncRNA (ENSPMJG00000016759.1)". The record is from RNAcentral. Lineage: Eukaryota; Metazoa; Chordata; Aves; Passeriformes; Paridae.
AUUUUGUCCCCAGUCGUAACGGAAACAAAUACUAAAAUAUUGUAAAUUCCUGUGGGAUGAAAUUCCUGUGAAGUUCGUUUUUGCACUUAGUGAAAGAGCGUGGGACGCCAGGAAACAUUCAGAUUUCAAGCCUUGCACAGGGGCAGAAUUCACAUUCAAUGAGGUCUGAGGGAAGGCUGCCUUUGGCCAGCAAGGUGCUCGCCAGCCCUGGCACUCAUCUGUGGCUCUCUUCCUUCUCCUCCCUGAUGCCCAGCUCCAGUAACAUGGCUGGAGAUGUGUGUGAUGUGUCUGAGUUCUGCAUUUUACCAACCCAGAUGCUGACCUUGGGCACUGUUUUUCUCUCUGUGGGAUGGCUGGUGCCACUGGGUUUGGAGUGUUGUCCCUUAACCCAGCUCUAGCAGGAUUGCAAAGGAAGGAGGGUGGUGUGGUGGUGAAAGUACCCCCACUGUAUGGCAGGAGAUCUGAGCUUCACUCUUCACUCUGCCACCAAAAAAAUGUCACUGUUGAUCUUGGAUGUGUUUCUUUCACUCUCUGCUCCACCACAGUUCCCCCAUCUGCAAAAAUGUGAAAGAUUUUUACCUACCUGGCUGAAAACUGAGGACCUCAUAACUGGAACUCAAGGAACCUAGAAGGAAACUAUGGCCUGGAUUUGCUCAUGACAAAGCAUCUACUAACAUAUUUUCAGCCAGUACCUGGCAGAGCAGCAGUGUUCAGAUUUCUGUUUAAAUAAGCUCUUUCAUCAGAUGAAAGAACAUACCAGGAACUGGUCAGCAAUAUUCUCUGCAGAGUGGCCCCUUGAAAGGGGAGCACAGACCAGGGAGUUAAUGGCUUCCAGGUAAGGAAAAGGUGCAAUGAGAUGGAGCUGGGAGCAGAGGACUGAGCCAGGGAGCUCCUCACUCCUGAGCAAUCCCUGUUACCAGCUGCUGGUCAUCUCUGCAGGGGGAGGACAAGGUGAAUGCAGCCCUUGCUCUUCACUCUGCUGGUGAAUAUUGAACAAUAACCAGUGCCGUAAAGCCUUUGACUUUAACUGGCAUGAACCAAAGGCUUUGCUCAGGUUGGCCUUGGAAUUAUUUAGGAUGAAAUUGAUUCCUUUUAGCCUUUGAGAGGGUCCAAUUUAAGCUGUUUAGCUGAGCAGUGUGGAAAAUACAGCAGUUUAGCUAUUAUGUGGUCAAACUGGAGAGCAGAUGCCUUUUACCGAUAUUGCUGGAUCCAUAACCUCACAUCCUCUUGGAAAUACUGUUCUUACUGCACUUUCUAUGGCUGUUGUUGUGGCCACCAGCGAUGAAAAUCCAGCCUGUUUUAUCCAUCAUAUUUCCUGGCUUCCAUAUUUCUUGUGUGUCUUAUGCAGCCCUCAGAACAGCUGAUGCACGUGUUCAUUGCAGGGUUUCCACUGCAGGCAGAAGUGUGUGAGCUUUGAGACAGCACAGCAGGAAAUGCUUUUGGAAGCUGUCAAUGGCCUUAUAGUUUGUAAAGAUAAAUGUGGCCACAAAAGCUAUCAUGAAAAAUAAAUAAAAAAAAAUUCUGAGAGACUGAUUGCUU